UGCCUGGGGUGCAGGAGAGAACAAGACAGACUAUUUAGUGGAGCAGGCUAAUGGUGUUGGGGAGGAAGGGGGCUGAUUCUCACAUCUCAGAACUGCUAAGCCUGCAAAUAUUACUGAAAUCACAUCUGGGAACAAAGCUCUGCUUUAACUAAGUUCACCCAUGAGUGUUGCUAAGCAAUGGAGAAAAGAUGAGGGAAAGGGAGGGUGCCUGACUUUAGGAUUAGGAGGAUGGAUAGAAGAUAAACACAAAGAGAGGUGCUGCAUCCUGGAGCACGGGCACAAGCAUUUGAGCACCAGAACUGCCAACAUCUGUCUCUGGAUUUAACAGCAAGGAAUGAGAGAAGAAGAAAUCUUCCCUAUCAGCAGCAGCAGGGGUUGCUGCAGCAAGAUGAUAAUUCCCUCCUGCUGCUCUGCUGACAAGCACCAAGCUGCACAGGAAGAGCAAAACAUUUUAAUCACAGGAUUGAAAAUGCAGCAGUUCCUAAAGCUUCACCUUACCUUGGCUGAUUUACAUUAAUUUAGGAUCAACUGGCUUUCAGAGGAAUAAUGUUAUCUAUGCAAGAUAACAGAGAAGGAAAAAUUUGGUGGAACUUCAAGUUUUCCUGCGCAUAACAUGCAAGGAACUGAGUAUAUAAACAGUUUUGGAACAUCUUAGAUAAGGAAGGACUAUUGAAUUCCUUAAAAGCACAGUACAAACUUGAGGGCUUCCUAAUUCCAUACUAAAUGUUUUUUAAGUGCCACACUAUCAAAUACACACCAUUAAAAGGAUAAAAAAUACAUUAGCAAUGAGCAAGUUGGGGUCUAAUCCAGUGUCCAUUGGAACCACCAAAAAUCCUGUGACAGAGACCUCAAGGUUCUGGCUCUUUCAUCAGAUUAUCAUUUAUAACAAAGGCACUCCAUAAGGAGCUGCUAAGACAAAUGCAAAUCUUGUGUCAAAGACAGUCAGACACCCCCCCAAAAUUAAAAAUUUGAGCACACAGCAGCUUACAGGCAGCAGCUUUGGGCAUGUGGCACAACAUCUGCUACAAAAACACUAGAAAGCAGACCUGCAGCAAACUGGAGCGGUGCCAGCUCUCAGAUUAUCCCCCCUCCAAGGCUGUCAAGUCAAUGGACAGAUGGCAGCCCGUGCACUCACAGGAUAGUUAGCUCAGUUAACAAUCAAGUAUGCUAAAUGAUUUCAGAUUCACUCUGCACCAAGCAUUGUACUUCCCAGUGAACCAUUAACACUGUGUCCUAAUAGAAAUAUGGUUUGGUAUGAAGGAACUGGCAGAUCCUGUAUUUUACAAGACAGUUUCUCUGGAACAAUUUGUCAGGGAACAUUAGAUCUGCCUUCAUGAAUAAAGUGAGAAUCUGCCAAGUUUGCCAGGCGGGUUUGUUCAUAAUUUUAAUUCUGCAGCAUUUGAAGAGAGAGGAUGGAAACAAACAGGAAGAUGCAGGUCAGUUAUGCACACAAGCUGCUCCCAGGGAUGCACUCAGUGAAAGCAGGAGGGGUGUUAGGAGCACACAGGAUCUCACACCACAGCAGCUGUGCCCCUGCAGUGCUGCCUGCCUGCUGCAGGGCAUCACACAGCUCUCCUGGCCUGGACAGCUAUCACAAGCAGCCUGCUGGGUGACACACUUGUUACCCGAGUGCACAGAUGUGACAACUCAGCUCAGAAUAAGCUAAUGGUUCUUGGGCUUAAAUGGGUAAAAUCUGUAAAGAAAAAUUGACCCGCAUAUAUCAAGGGGACAAAUAAUUCAGUACUGAGCACUAGCCCAUAGCAUAGAGGUGGACUUCUGGCCUCAGCAUUAUAAGAUGCAUCUUUAAAUUCUUCCUCCUUAUGGUUAGAUAUGAUUGUCUUUAAGGAUAUUUGUAGACUUAGUGACAAAUUUAUUCUAUUGAUUUGCUUUUCCAUAAGUCAGCAGGGCAAGAAUAGUGUUUGAAAAAAAAAAAGUUGGUUUCUUCUCCCACCUUCACUCUCUGCUCUUGUUGCAUAUCCCUUUUAUCUGUCCACCCAAAAUCCCAUGUAGCUAAACAGCUGGUCAAAAUGGUAAUAAAAUUAUUUAUUACAUAUUUGGCUCCCACGACCAUUUUAUUCAUCAUUGUUGCACCUAAUAAAUACCCUGAGAAAACACACAACCACCAGCCCUUUUCUGCCUGGAUUGGAAAAAUUCUUCAGCAAAAAGCAGGGGAGAAACCCAAGAAAAACAAGUGGAAAAACACAAGGACAGGGAAGAGAGAGAACUUAGCUCUGUGCAAGGAGGUAGGAGUUGUGCCAUGGAUACCAGAAAAGCAGCACCUCACACUUCUUAUCUGCUAUCUCAGCUCCAAAGAGUAGGACUGAAGCAAACUGGAAAACCUAAAGCAUUUCUAGUGGGCAAUCAGCAAAUGAGUUCCCCACACAGUCAGGUGAGUGCCAGCUGCAGAGCAGCAGCUUCUGACCAGUGCAGGGAAGCCUUGUGCUUUGGACUUACACUCAGAGCUCUUCCAGAGCAGCUGCAUUUCGUGGUGCAGGGCUGCAGAACACCCAGCAAUGUUCUGCAUGCCUGGAUCAGUGAGAGGGCACCAUGCACAGCUCUGCUCACUCUCCUUUCCUGCUCUGACACCAGUUUUCUUCAGAGAUGCUCACAGGGCAUUGUCAAAGUUCUACCAAGAAAAUCAGCAACAGCAGGCAAGAAUUCCUGUUCCUUGCUCUUCCCUUUCCAACACAAGGUGCCACGAAUAUAUUGGAACAGGAGCAAGAACUCUCCCAGAGCAUGGAGCUCCCCAGCUGUGCUCCCUGCAGCUUUCCUCUCUCUUGAGCAGGCAAUGUUGUGACCCUGGUGUGUGAUCACCAGAGCAGGGAGAUGCAAUUUAAAAAAAAUAAAGAGCAAACCAGUCAAAAAUGGAGACACAAGCAACCUCAUUUUCUGGCUCAACUUUAUGAAAAUCUGAUUAGACCUCAGUGAAAUUUAAUCUUUGCCUUCCAGACCUUCUGAGACAACAAUAAAGAUCUCUUGAGCUCAUAAAGUACCCAGAGAGGAGAGAUACCACCCAGCUGUAGGAAAAUAGCUGAGAAAAAUUAUUUUUCUUGGCACUAAUCACCAGGUAAAUCUGAAAAAAAUGUCAUUCAAAAGUAAAUUAUAAAAAGCUACAUAUCACUACUUUCAAAUACAAGAAUACACUUUAUCAGACAAAGUAAUAAAAUAAUAUGAAAAAGACAAGACAAAUUAGCUACAGCAAUAAUUAGGAAUGCCAGACAUUCAGAAGAGAGUAUUUGUUCAAAUUGCUAAGAUAGUCAAGAGACAGAAAAUUUGACUCCCAGAAGUCCCACUGUGCUAACAUUUCUUUUUCCUUUUUUCCUACUACAAAUUUACAGCAAAAACAAAGCAACCUACCAGACAUAUUUUUAUAUUAUCAGCCCUUCCCCAGAACAAUUCUGCUUCAAAACUACUCAUUAAGCUGGAACUGGCAAAACCCAAAGUUCCAGUCUUUUAUUCUCAGCCAGAGGAUUCACAUUUCCCCAUGUCCUUGUAGCAGCUGUUCCUACGUUGCCCCAUGAGACAAAGAAAUAUGGGAAUUUUUUGACUUUCCUCGAAAUAUUUUUUACUUUUAUGGAUAGAUAAUACAUGGAGUCAUUAGCCACAAGAGGCCACACAAAUACUGCUACCUGGAUGUGCUCAGCACAGAUCUAAGAAAGCUCUCACUGCAGCAAGUGCUGAUUUUUGGGGGUCACUCCCCUCUGCCAGCUCAGCAGUGGCACCAAAAGAAGCCUUUCUGUGCAUCUGUGGAGGAAUAUUUGCCAAGGGUUUGAUCUUGGCCCCUUGGUUUGUGCCUACAGUGCCCAGGAUUCCCAGGGGGUCUCACAGCCAAACCUUUCCUACUUUGGGGAUGCUGAGCCCACCACAAGCCAUGUUCUGCUGUCACAGUGUAAAACCAGAAAAUCCUACAACACUGAUGUUUCUUGGAUUCUUCCAAUGCUCUGCUUACAGUCCAACAAGAUCAGCUUUUGCAGCUUGCAGGAAAGAAAGCAAGCAAUUCUUACCAAAGCACAGCAAUCUGGGAAAUUAAAAAAGAAAAGGAAAAACCAGAUAUGAAUGGGUGGUAAAAUUGUAUUUCCAAUCUUCUCCUCUAAUAAUGCAGUACAGCAGCCAUCUCCAACUCAUCAUACCAGACAAAGUGAUAUGUGCAGGAAAUGUUAAAUAUUAAGGAAACAAAUGGAUGCUAAAAAAAUCCUAAACUAUGGGUGUGCAGAGCCAAAAUAAUUGAGGACGAUGUGCAUGUACUAAAUAGAGUUAAAAACUAGAGCAUGAUAGAUAUAUUUAUAUGUGUGUGCAUAUAUAUAUCUAUCAAUCAUCUAGGAACUCAAUUUAAUUUUUGCAUGCACUGAUUCCCCAUGUCCUUAUUGUUGCUUAUAGAAUCCUUCACUAAUUCUAUGUUUUGUACAGCCAUGCAACAAAAACAUGGUUAUGUUGUAUAUAGUCACACAGCAGAAUGUCUGUGGAAUAAAGUUCUCAUUAAAAUCCUAUUUUAAUCAUGCAAUUAAAAAGUCUACAGUAAUAUUGCAAUUACAAUACUUUUAAAAUGCAUCUGUGCAGAAAGCUAGAAGACUAGAAUGGAUAUAGUAUUCUGAUCUCCCACUGUACAAAUGCACAAUAAUUCUCAAUCUGUUCUUGCCUGGGCAAGUCAGAGUGUGUGCAACAGUCAAGAUUAAUUAGAAGGAACACGUGUUCCUCAUGAAUGAUGCCAUGUCUAGUACUAUAUGCAAAUUAAUUCAUGUCAGCAUGGGCCAUGUUUUAUCAUGAUUUUUCCUUUCUUUUUGAAAAAGGAGGUACAAUUUUUUGACUGCAACUAUUGUACAUUGUUGAUUUUACAAGAGCUGUAGAGAGAUUUUAUAAAAAUAAAACAUUGGGCAA
Long non-coding RNA from Passer domesticus (house sparrow), 4875 nucleotides. RefSeq lists it as uncharacterized. Lineage: Eukaryota; Metazoa; Chordata; Aves; Passeriformes; Passeridae. The transcript is spliced from 3 exons. The record is from RefSeq and is a predicted model, not a curated record.